CUUGGGUAGCAAACAGGAUUAGAUACCCUAGUAGUCCAAGCAGACAAUGAUGAAUGUCAUGCAUUAGAUAUAAAUAUUUAAUGCAUAAACGAAAGUGUAAGCAUUCCACCUCAAGAGUACUAUGGCAACAUAUAAACUGAAAUCAUUAGACCGUUUCUAAAACCAGUAGUGAAGUAUGUUAUUUAAUUCGAUAAUCCGCGAAAAACCUUACCACAGCUUGUAUAUCAUAUUUAAAUAGUGAAACAAGCGCUGCAUGGCUGUCUUUAGUUAAUGUCGUGAGAUUUGGUUAAUUCCUUUAAUUAACGAAAACCCUCGCUUUAUUUAUUUAUAUAAAGUGGUUCGCUAGUACAUCGGAUCAGAUAAAAGGGAUUAAGACAAGUCAUUAUGGCCUAAAUGCUGUGGGCUAUAGACGUGCCACAUACGCCUUUACAACGGGAUGCUAUAUUGUGAAAUGGAGCU
This 459-nucleotide ribosomal RNA is filed under the name Penicillium buchwaldii. RNAcentral describes it as "SSU rRNA". It matches the Rfam family "Bacterial small subunit ribosomal RNA", at positions 760 to 1269 of the family's 1533-position model. Lineage: Eukaryota; Fungi; Ascomycota; Eurotiomycetes; Eurotiales; Aspergillaceae. The record is from RNAcentral.